GAAAAGUGCAGUGAAAAGAAGAAAAGAGAACGAAAACCGUUUGAAUAAUU
This is a non-coding RNA of Caenorhabditis elegans, 50 nucleotides long. Lineage: Eukaryota; Metazoa; Nematoda; Chromadorea; Rhabditida; Rhabditidae. The record is from Ensembl.